CACUGUCUGCCAGCCAGUGGUCCUUGGGGUUCGCUGGGGCUGGGGAGAUGCUGGGCUGGGGGAGGUGGACGCUGUGGCCCACGGGAAAAGCACUCGGGGCUGGGAUGCCCAGGGAAAUGCUUUUCCUCUCCCUCGGGAAUUACAGUCCCGUCGUUCCUCCUUGAAGGCGGCUACAAAAGACCCGCGCCGGUUCGUGAUCCCUGUUAGGGAUGAAAGCAGCUCACCGCGGCCACUCGGCCCCGCGGCCGGAGUUUCUUCCUCCACUUGAAGGACAAGGGAAUAAAUGGGAGGUCGCCUGGCAUUCAGAUGAUCUCCGUGUGGGAUUAAUUGCUCGCACAUCAUCUUCCCCAGCCAGAUGUGCCAGGCAUGGCUGGGCCAUUUCUGAGGGAGCUGGAGAUGAAAAAAACACGUGGACAAGAAGUGACCUUCCCUCACUGCUGGACUCUGGCCAUCCCCACCACCUCGUGGCUCUGGGACGGGAGCUGCUGCCUGGGGAAGACACGAGGAGUCAGAAGCCUGAAAAGCUCUGAAAUCCACCCAAAACCAGAGCAGCCCAUGCCUGAUCAUUUCGCUUUCUCUUCCUAGUGAGUGCUGGAGUAUUAAUAACCUUUUGGUGUAAAAUUACUGCAUUUAAAAAAUUUCAUUAUGUCUCUAUGUCACGGGACAUAGAGCAGAGGCAAACCUAAUUAAAUUACUGAGAAUUAAAUUGCCAGCCCCUCCAGCAAAGCCUGGGGGGAGGCGGUCGAUCCCUCCAGCUUUGCAAGGGAUCUGAAUUACUCGGCUCAGCUCUUCUCCCACCAAAGCCAGAACCCUGGGGAAGGAGCCCAGUUCAGCCCCUGCGCCUGCCACUGGGAAGCUGGGGAGGGAGGGAGGGAGGGAGGUGAUGCUCAUGGUGGAUUUGUUUAUUAAGGUCCAUAAUUAACAGUGAUGAGAUCUGCAGGAGAGGGAAACCGUUGCCUCCAUGAGAACAGGGGGAGGGCGAGAUGGUUUUGGUGCUAUUUUAAGGAAAGUCUGAAAAGGCAGGAGGCUGCAAACACCGAGGUUCCUGCAAGCUCAGCAGAGCUGGUCUCCCCCACCAGCCUGGAUGUGGCCGGGGGCUCGGGCGGGGGGACGGUCCCCAGCCCGGCUCCCCCUCCGCAGCAUCGCUGCUGCUGAGUCCCCUUCCCCGUCCCGGGGCCGGUUAUUUCAGAACACCUUUGCAUCCCUUUUGAUGUGGC
RNAcentral lists this long non-coding RNA (1217 nucleotides) under Calidris pygmaea (Spoon-billed sandpiper). RNAcentral describes it as "lncRNA (ENSCPGG00000018074.1)". Lineage: Eukaryota; Metazoa; Chordata; Aves; Charadriiformes; Scolopacidae. The record is from RNAcentral.